RNAcentral lists this ribosomal RNA (369 nucleotides) under uncultured bacterium. RNAcentral describes it as "bacterial SSU rRNA". It matches the Rfam family "Bacterial small subunit ribosomal RNA", at positions 527 to 896 of the family's 1533-position model. The record is from RNAcentral.
GGGGGGGGCAAGCGUUGUUCGGAAUUACUGGGCGUAAAGGGCGCGUAGGCGGCGCGAUUAGUCAGGCGUGAAAGCCCCGGGCUCAACCUGGGAACUGCGCUUGAUACUGUCGUGCUUGAGUUCCGGAGAGGAUGGUGGAAUUCCCAGUGUAGAGGUGAAAUUCGUAGAUAUUGGGAAGAACACCGGUGGCGAAGGCGGCCAUCUGGACGGACACUGACGCUGAGGCGCGAAAGCGUGGGGAGCAAACAGGAUUAGAUACCCUGGUAGUCCACGCCGUAAACGAUGAGUGCUAGACGUCGGGGUGCAUGCACUUCGGUGUCGGAGCUAACGCAUUAAGCACUCCGCCUGGGGAGUACGGCCGCAAGGUUA